RNAcentral lists this long non-coding RNA (2012 nucleotides) under Nilaparvata lugens (brown planthopper). Its description in RNAcentral is "uncharacterized LOC120350182". Lineage: Eukaryota; Metazoa; Arthropoda; Insecta; Hemiptera; Delphacidae. The record is from RNAcentral.
UUUUGAGCUCGAAAAUAUCACAUUCACCAUACGUUUUGCAUACAUAUCAACAAAUUUAUAGUUAGUAUAUAAACGCGAAAUGACUCACAUAUUUCAAUCACAUAACAGAUUCCAUCAAAAGAGCUCAAAUUAUCUUUUUACAUGGUUUAAAAGCAAUCUGGCAACAUUGCAGAGCUGAAGAGGAUUAGUUUUUUGCUUUGUCUAAUGACAGACAAGGAUACCAAAAUUUUAAUCAGGUUCUGAUUUUAUAGAGUGGAGCUCACUAUAGGCGUGUGCAUGCUUAAUGGUAGGGAUGAUGAAGAGAGAUGAAUGGACCUACAUUUCUGAUAGAUUCCAAAUCAACAGUUUGUUGUAAAAACAAUAAUUAUUCACAAGAAAUGCUAAUCAGUAUACCCACACAUAAAAUCUUAUAUUUAACAAAACAAUAUUAUGAUGAAGCAGAUUACAAAAAAAAUCUCUUUGUGGUCACCCAUCCAAUAGAAGUACCGGUACCGAGUGCUCUCACAAAGCGCUCAAUCUCUUCCAUAUUUUUGCAACCGAUUUUUCUUAGUUUUCUCUCUAUGGAAUCAUUUUUCAUGAUGCAGACCUUCUUGUUAGACAUUUGAAUCUUGUUUUUAGCUAGCGAUUGGAAAUUUCAUUUCUAUUAGCCUAUGUGUAGUACAGUUUUGAAGCUGAGCUUGCCAUGCUAUAUACAUCUACAAAGUUGCCUCUAUUUUAUAUUACUUACUGUAAUAAGUAUGACUAGUCUGUUAUUUAAUGCUGUUCCAAUGAAAUUUCCUGUAGAAAUUGAGUUUAAAAUCAAGCAAGGAAUAUGGUUAUUAUUCAGUAAGGACUAGUAAAAGAUAAAUCUCAAUUUAUGUACGGCAUUGCAUUCAUUUGGAAAGUUCAUUGUAAACAUUUGAGUAUAAUGUAAACUUUAUUAUUACUCCUCAACUCAACUCACUAAGUUUAUUUGUUGUAAAAGAUGCUCUUCAAUUCACUUAUUUUUUUGUAAGAGACCAUUGAAUUUCUUCAUGCUAGACGUAUCAGUCCAAAACGAAAUUAAUGGAGAUCAUUUCGAAAAAUGAAUUUUCCAAAAUAAUUAAAACCAAAUAAAAUUUCUGAAAUGCAUGUGAGCAUGUACUCAUAGCAUAAACAUCAUAACUAAUAUUCAUUCCUUUAGUAAAUUUAUUUACUUUUUCGACGAAUUUUAAAUUUAUAUUGAAACCAUGCAUAUAAUAAAAAAUGGAAAGAUUAGAAAUGGACUGAUGCUCUUUUGGCAUGGAGAUAUUCAAGUAGCAUCAUUAGGCUAGAUCUAUCACUAGAUUCAUCCAUUAUUGUAAGAUAUCUCUUAUGUACUUCCCUCUAUAUAGGAAAAAAAGAAAAGAAAAAUAGAAUGUAUUUUUAUAAUUUGAAAAAAUAAAGAUUAACUGUGUUGUUUGCAUCUUAAAUGCUCCUCUUUUAGAUUUAGAUUUAAUCAUAAGAAACAGUCACGGAGUGACAGCAUCUUCAAUGCUCCACUAUAAAAUUAACUUCUAUUGUAACUUUGUAACUGCUCCAACUUCAAAAUUUCACUGUUUCAAAUUUAUUAAGAACUUUUGACUGUUGAUUUUGUAAGAGCAGUAUUAGAUUCCUUCUAAUUCUACUUGUAAAAGAUGCUUUUCGUUCACUUAUAAUUGUAUUAGGUUACUGAAUUGUUCUAUGCUAGAGUGGUAUUGGUCCAUAUAAAUUCAGUUGCAAUAUUACUCAUAUAAAUCAUUUCUAAAUUGAUUUUUAUCCAAAUUUAAUGGGAACAUAACAUGCAAUUACUGCAUAAAACGUUUUUCUGAAGUUUCCAAAGUCUCUUAAAGUAUUGGUCUCUUGAAGUAUUGAAAAUUAGGCUAUACAAAGUUUCCACACAAAAAUCCUUAGUGAUGAAAAAAAUGGUCCAAUGUCCCUUUAGCACAUAGCAGUUCAGCAAGCAUCUUCAUUGUUGUAUUUCACACUUCACAAAAAAAUGUAAAAAAAUUAAGAAUAGAAAAUGAAAAAAAAAA